Long non-coding RNA from Carassius auratus (goldfish), 1769 nucleotides. RefSeq lists it as uncharacterized. The transcript is spliced from 5 exons. The record is from RefSeq and is a predicted model, not a curated record. Lineage: Eukaryota; Metazoa; Chordata; Actinopteri; Cypriniformes; Cyprinidae.
UUUGGCUUUUUUUAUAACCUAAAGAGAACGUUUCUAGAACGUUCCCUGCAGGUUAUUUUUGGUUAACUGAGUUGCUGCAGAAAUUCAUAAGACAUACAAUGUAAGCGAUUUGAAAUUACAAUAAACUGAUAAAACACGCUAAAAAUGUAACCUUUCAUAGCAGCUGAAAACAAACCAAAUUUGAAAGUGAAGUGACAUUCAGCCAAGUAUGGUGACCCAUACUCAGAUUGUGCUCUGCAUUUAACCCAUCCGAAAUGCACACACGCAGUGAACACACACACACACACACUGUGAGCACACAGCCGAUUUUGUAAUGAGCUAAUCGGGGAUUGAGUGUUACUGUAAAUUCUGCGUGUUUUAAUGAGCGCGCGCUGAACAUUGGAGCGCGUUCAUUCAGAUUCAAACACUGGAGCGGAGGGAGUUGGCAUGGAAACGGGCGGUCGACAACACUGGCAAGCUGCACGCUCCGUGUCUCGCUGCUGUUUUCACUGAUUUCGCAUCUGUUGAAUUUACUUCAUAGAAAUGGUUAAGUGUUUUCGAACAAGUCCGUGAGCAUCUGAACCUUUAUCAGAGGAGUGCUUGAUGAUCUUCUGCAUCCCAUGAUGAGCAAACCUCCUGUCCAACAACAUCUCCAAGGCACACUGAUCCAUAUGACUAGCAGGAUUACCCCAAACAUACACUAAUGCUAUCCUUACCAAUUUCUGAAAUAAUAUUACAAUUUAAAAUAGCAGUUUUUGGUGAAAUGUAACUUAUUCCUGUGAUGUGCAGCUGUAUUUUCAGCAUCAUUCCUCCAGUCUUCAGUGUCACAUGAUCUUCAGAAAUCAUUUUAAUAUGAUGAUUUACUGCUCAAGAAACAUUUCUGAUUAUUAUCAAUGUUGAAAACAGUUGUGCUGCUCAAUAUAUAUAUAUGAGAGAGAGAGAGAGAGAAUUCUUUGCUAAUAGAAAAUUCUUCUUGACACUAACUUUUGAUUAAUUUAAUGUGUCCAUGCUGAAUAAAAAUAUGAAUUUUUUUUAAAAAUGUAGUCUACAUUACCAUUUAGAAGUCUGGGGUCUAUAUAACAAUCAAGCUUUAAAAUAAAUAAAUAAACUCUAUGCUGUUAUAAACAGUUUACACAAAUAUAAAACAGCGCUGUUUUUUUAACAUUCAUAUUUAUCAGAAGUGUUUAUUUGGCAAAGAGCAGCAUAUUAUAAUGAUUUCUGGAGGAUCAUAUGACACUUAAGACUGAAGUAAUGAUGCUGAAAAAUCAGCUUUGAUCAUAGCAAUCAACUGACCCUUCGCAAAACAAGCGUCCCUCCUUAAAUACUGUAGCUAUGUCUGACAAGCCAUGCUGCUCUCACAGUACACACCUUGUUCUUCUUUGUGGACCAAAGAGGAAACUGACAACACACAGACAGAAGAAGACAGAGAAGGUCACUUCUGAUCCAUCAAAGUCCUCAUCUUCUGUGUCUGAGUUGAACAGCUGGGCAACAGCUUUUGAACAGCUUUCUUCAUCAAACAUGCCGGGUUCCCUCUCAUCAUGGUUGAUCGCUGCCAGCGUACGUAGUGUACGUAUUAUGUCCCUGUGUCAGCGGGAAAUGGUCCGACAGUCAGAUGACUGUUGUGAAGAUGGAAGAGUGCAGGAUCUACAAUUACACUAAUAAUACAAUUUUUGAAGUAGUUUGAUUUUGUUUCGCUUUCUGCCAUGUUUUGAAUGUGAUGCUCAGCCUACAACCCAAUGAUUGUGUUUGUAUUAUUAUUUUUUUAAUCAACAAUUAAAAAAUGACAAAAC